AAUGACUCGCACGGAUAUCGGAUCCACUGCAUACGUAUCUCAUCUGAAUAUGAGAAUCAGAGUCUUCGUAGCUCGACUACCUAUGGGUUAGGGGGAUGUGUGCUCGAUAAGACGUCGCGUCUUAUGCCUACGUAUCUCAUCUGGAAUGAGAAUCAGAGCACGCCGUAGUUCGGCUAACUACGGGGUUGGUUGUGUUUUUGGGUGAACGACGUUAC
RNAcentral lists this long non-coding RNA (215 nucleotides) under Lathyrus oleraceus (garden pea). RNAcentral describes it as "Pisum sativum (pea) long non-coding RNA (PSAT_LNC012033)". The record is from RNAcentral. Lineage: Eukaryota; Viridiplantae; Streptophyta; Magnoliopsida; Fabales; Fabaceae.